UCGAGCGAGUCUGCCUUGAAGAUCGGAGUGCUUGCACUCUGUGAAACAAGAUACAGGCUAGCGGCGGACGGGUGAGUAACACGUGGGUAACCUGCCCAAGAGAUCGGGAUAACACCUGGAAACAGAUGCUAAUACCGGAUAACAACAGAUGAUGCCUAUCAACUGUUUAAAAGAUGGUUCUGCUAUCACUCCUGGAUGGACCUGCGGUGCAUUAGCUAGUUGGUAGGGUAACGGCCUACCAAGGCGAUGAUGCAUAGCCGAGUUGAGAGACUGAUCGGCCACAUUGGGACUGAGACACGGCCCAAACUCCUACGGGAGGCAGCAGUAGGGAAUCUUCCACAAUGGACGCAAGUCUGAUGGAGCAACGCCGCGUGAGUGAAGAAGGGUUUCGGCUCGUAAAGCUCUGUUGUUGGUGAAGAAGGACAGGGGUAGUAACUGACCUUUGUUUGACGGUAAUCAAUUAGAAAGUCACGGCUAACUACGUGCCAGCAGCCGCGGUAAUACGUAGGGGGCAAGCGUUGUCCGGAUUUAUUGGGCGUAAAGCGAGUGCAGGCGGUUCGAUAAGUCUGAUGUGAAAGCCUUCGGCUUAACCGGAGAAUUGCAUCAGAAACUGUCGAGCUUGAGUACAGAAGAGGAGAGUGGAACUCCAUGUGUAGCGGUGAAAUGCGUAGAUAUAUGGAAGAACACCGGUGGCGAAGGCGGCUCUCUGGUCUGUUACUGACGCUGAGGCUCGAAAGCAUGGGUAGCGAACAGGAUUAGAUACCCUGGUAGUCCAUGCCGUAAACGA
This 787-nucleotide ribosomal RNA is filed under the name uncultured bacterium. RNAcentral's name for it is "bacterial SSU rRNA". It matches the Rfam family "Bacterial small subunit ribosomal RNA", at positions 62 to 809 of the family's 1533-position model. The record is from RNAcentral.